RNAcentral lists this ribosomal RNA (207 nucleotides) under uncultured bacterium. RNAcentral's name for it is "partial 16S ribosomal RNA". It matches the Rfam family "Bacterial small subunit ribosomal RNA", at positions 524 to 727 of the family's 1533-position model. The record is from RNAcentral.
UACGUAGGGUGCGAGCGUUGUCCGGAAUUAUUGGGCGUAAAGGGCUCGUAGGCGGUCUGUUGCGUCGGCUGUGAAAACCCGAGGCUCAACCUCGGGCCUGCAGCCGAUACGGGCAGACUAGAGUUCGGCAGGGGAGACUGGAAUUCCUGGUGUAGCGGUGAAAUGCGCAGAUAUCAGGGAGGAACACCCGGUGGCGAAAGGCGGGUC